CUCAAAGAAGGACUCCCUGGUGGUUCGGAGGUAAAGAAUCAGCCUGCAAUGCAGGAGUUGCAGGAGGCAACUGGUUCAGUCCCUGGGUCAGGAAGAUCCCCUGGAGGAGGGCAUGGCAGCCCACUCCAUUAUUCUUGCCUGGAGAUUCCCAUGAACAGAGGAGCCUGGAAAUCUACAGUCCAUAGGUCUCAAAGAGUCAGACACGACUGAAGAGACAGCACACAUACACGCACGGCCUCAAAGAAAUGGAAGCAAACUUCCCCUCACCACUCCCAGAUUUCUGGCCUCUGAAAUAAAGCGAACUUUCCUUUCCUCCAACCUUGCAGGUUUUUGAGGGGCGAGCAGUGUUUUGCAUCCGAAUAAGGCUGUGCUCUCGCGAUAUCUAGCUUCCUGGGGUUUUCCCAAGCGGAGCCAUCAGCCAUGCCAACGUGCCGGGAUGGUUCCGAUAAGUCCGCUGCUCCUGGCUAGCUUGCCCUGGGAGGAAGCUUUGGGGGGAACAUUCCUAGCAGUUCCUGAAACCAUUUGUUUCAGGGAUCCUCCCCGUGUCCCUCCUGCUCGGCGCUGGUUGUCAACUUAUGCUUUUCGUAAGUGGAAUGGAAAAAUGGACCCGGACAAGCUGAUGAACUCCAAGACCAAACCCUGCUUCUCCUCAUGAAUAAGCCUGUUGGAGGAUGAGAAACCACACAGAUCAGACCUCAGUCAGACUAACUGCGCCAGCCAGAGCCGCAGAGACGUGAGCGGGCCCAGCCAUCAUCAGUGGUGCUCCAGACCCACAAGCAAGAUGCACCAGCAAGGUGGCCCUCCAGCCAGCCCACUGGUGACCAGGAUGCCGUGAGCUAGUAAACAGAUGUUGCUGGUUUCAAGACACUGCCCUACAGAGUGGUUUGUUACACAGAGAUUUCCAAACGAUAUGUAAUUCUUUACACAGGUUUAUAAUGAGUCGUUUUUGCUUGUUUCUUUCUGCCCUACCCUCAGAUCUCUUCAGAGUUAUUUGUGGCCUCCAGUUUCUGGGGAUCUAUGGUGGUAGUCUUUUUUUCUUCUCAUUGACUCUGUCUCUUAUUCCAUUAGGUUUCAACUUCCUCCACUCUGCUAGGUCAGCUUCAGAGUUCCCUCUUCCAAAUUGUCAUUGUCAAUUCUGAUUUGGCAUCAUGUCCUCUCCUAUCUUUUUUUGGACUUAUUUAUUCCUUUAUUUCCAUCACAGUGGGAUUUCAGCAAAUGGUGGAGAUAAACCUCUGUAUUCAUAUGUGUUACUAUAUUCAUAAAUUAAAUACAACCCUCAAUUGCAAAAGCAAGAUGUACU
RNAcentral lists this long non-coding RNA (1300 nucleotides) under Bos indicus x Bos taurus (hybrid cattle). Its description in RNAcentral is "lncRNA (ENSBIXG00005001590.1)". Lineage: Eukaryota; Metazoa; Chordata; Mammalia; Artiodactyla; Bovidae. The record is from RNAcentral.